GAUGAACGCUGGCGGCGUGCCUAAUACAUGCAAGUCGAGCGAACGGACGAGAAGCUUGCUUCUCUGAUGUUAGCGGCGGACGGGUGAGUAACACGUGGAUAACCUACAUAUAAGACUGGGAUAACUUCGGGAAACCGGAGCUAAUACCGGAUAAUAUUUUGAACCGCAUGGUUCAAAAGUGAAAGAAGGUCUUGCUGUCACUUAUAGAUGGAUCCGCGCUGCAUUAGCUAGUUGGUAAGGUAACGGCUUACCAAGGCAACGAUGCAUAGCCGACCUGAGAGGAUGAUCGGCCACACUGGAACGGAGACACGGUCCAGACUCCUACGGGAGGCAGCAGUAGGGAAUCUUCCGCAAUGGGCGAAAGCCUGACAGAGCAACGCCGCGUGAGUGAUGAAGGUCUUCGGAUCGUAAAACUCUGUUAUUAGGGAAGAACAUAUGUGUAAGUAACUGUGCACAUCUUGACGGUACCUAAUCAGAAAGCCACGGCUAGCUACGUG
Molecule: ribosomal RNA, 497 nt
Filed under: uncultured bacterium
Lineage: Bacteria
Description: partial 16S ribosomal RNA
Rfam family: Bacterial small subunit ribosomal RNA
Source: RNAcentral